GGUACGGAUCACGUAAACCGAAAAAUCCAUUCGUUACGUCCUCAAUCUGACAACUUCACACGGUGACGGCAUUAAAGAAAAAUCAAUUUUAUAAAUGGAAUCUUAUGUCUAAUUCCGUCUGUUCCAUCCUCGAAAUGAAAGAGACGGACGCAAAGGAUUAAACGUUUUUAGGAUAAAGGGUACCCUGACGCCUUGUUGAAUAAUGAAUACCCGUCGAUUUUAGGACGAUUGUUUCCACGCUGCUGCUUAAUUGCAUCUUAACAGCAGAUCAAUAUCUGACACUCGCAAUGACGUCGACACAUUGUAUAACAAAAAGCGG
Molecule: long non-coding RNA, 319 nt
Organism: Daphnia carinata
Lineage: Eukaryota; Metazoa; Arthropoda; Branchiopoda; Diplostraca; Daphniidae
Exons: 3
Source: RefSeq, a predicted model, not a curated record